RNAcentral lists this ribosomal RNA (1137 nucleotides) under Triticum aestivum (bread wheat). Its description in RNAcentral is "partial small subunit ribosomal RNA". Lineage: Eukaryota; Viridiplantae; Streptophyta; Magnoliopsida; Poales; Poaceae. The record is from RNAcentral.
AUGCAGGCCCAGGGCCUCCUCCGCGUCCCCGGCCACCCGGCGGCGGCGCGGCCCCUCCCGCGCCGGCAAUGCCGCGUGUCGGCCGUGGCGGCGGCGGCGCCGUCGGUGCAGCGCGGCGUGACGCACUCGAUGCCGCCGGAGAAGGCGGAGGUGUUCCAGUCGCUGCGGGGCUGGGCGGCGGGGUCGCUGCUGCCGCUGCUCCGGCCCGUGGAGGACAUCUGGCAGCCGGCGGACUUCCUGCCGGACUCGUCGUCCGAGAUGUUCGAGCACGAGGUGCGCGAGCUGCGGGCCCGCGCCGCGGCGCUGCCCGACGACUACUUCGUGGUGCUGGUGGGGGACAUGGUCACCGAGGAGGCGCUCCCCACGUACCAGACCAUGAUCAACACCCUCGACGGCGUCCGCGACGAGACCGGCGCCAGCGCCUGCCCCUGGGCCGUCUGGACCCGCGCCUGGACCGCCGAGGAGAACCGCCACGGCGACGUCCUCAACAAGUACAUGUACCUCUCCGGCCGCGUCGACAUGCGCAUGGUCGAGAAGACCGUCCAGUACCUCAUCGGCUCCGGCAUGGACCCGAGGACGGAGAACAACCCGUACCUGGGCUUUGUGUACACGAGCUUCCAGGAGCGCGCCACGGCCGUCUCCCACGGCAACACCGCGCGGCUCGCCAGGGCGCACGGCGACGACGUGCUGGCGCGCACUUGCGGCACCAUCGCCGCCGACGAGAAGCGCCACGAGACGGCCUACAGCCGCAUCGUGGAGCAGCUGCUGCAGCUCGACUCGGACGGCGCCAUGCUCGCCAUCGCGGACAUGAUGCGCAAGCGGAUCACCAUGCCCGCGCACCUCAUGCACGACGGCAGCGACAUGAGCCUGUUCGAGCAUUUCGCGUCCGUGGCCCAGCGCCUCGGCGUGUACACCGCGCAGGACUACACCGACAUCGUCGAGUUCCUCGUCAAGCGGUGGAAGCUGGAGGCGCUGGAGGGCGGGCUCUCCGGCGAAGGCCGGAGGGCCCGGGACUUCGUCUGCGGGCUCGCGCCGAGGAUGCGGCGCGCGGCGGAGAGGGCGGCCGACAGGGCCAAGAAAGACGAGCCCAGGAAGGUCAGGUUCAGCUGGAUCUUUGAUAGGGAAGUGGUUGUCUAG